UGGGGAAUAUUGGACAAUGGGCGCAAGCCUGAUCCAGCAAUGCCGCGUGUGUGAAGAAGGCCUUCGGGUUGUAAAGCACUUUUAUCAGGAGCGAAACGCUGUCGGCUAAUACCCGGCGGAACUGACGGUACCUGAGGAAUAAGCACCGGCUAACUUCGUGCCAGCAGCCGCGGUAAUACGAAGGGUGCAAGCGUUAAUCGGAAUUACUGGGCGUAAAGCGUGCGUAGGCGGUUUCUUAAGUCUGCUGUGAAAUCCCCGGGCUCAACCUGGGAAUGGCAGUGGAUACUGGGAGGCUAGAGUGUGUCAGAGGGUGGUGGAGUUCCCGGUGUAGCGGUGAAAUGCGUAGAGAUCGGGAGGAACAUCAGUGGCGAAGGCGGCCACCUGGGACAACACUGACGCUGAGGCACGAAAGCGUGGGGAGCAAACAGGAUUAGAUACCCUGGUAGUCCAUGCCGUAAACGUUGGGCACUAGGUGUGGGG
This 480-nucleotide ribosomal RNA is filed under the name uncultured bacterium. RNAcentral describes it as "partial 16S ribosomal RNA". It matches the Rfam family "Bacterial small subunit ribosomal RNA", at positions 355 to 827 of the family's 1533-position model. The record is from RNAcentral.